Molecule: long non-coding RNA, 273 nt
Filed under: Felis catus (domestic cat)
Lineage: Eukaryota; Metazoa; Chordata; Mammalia; Carnivora; Felidae
Description: lncRNA (ENSFCAG00000046972.1)
Source: RNAcentral
AUGAGGAAAGACAUGACUGAAAGGAUUAAAGGGAAUAUGGCUCGAAGCUCACACAAGGCAGAGAGAAUGCUAUCAAAUGGAAACAUGGAUCUACAUAAAGGCAUGGUGUAUUUUACGUCACUGUCUUCGUUGGAAUUGAAGCAAACCAAAAUAGGACCAGAUACAAUGUACCUCUGGAACUAGAUGAUCCAGCCAUACCAACCGUUUUAGAACAGGUGCUUUUCUCUCUUCAAAGGUAAUAAAAUAGGUAAAUAACAAAUGUAAAGUACUAAC